RNAcentral lists this long non-coding RNA (310 nucleotides) under Salmo salar (Atlantic salmon). RNAcentral describes it as "lncRNA (ENSSSAG00000085711.1)". Lineage: Eukaryota; Metazoa; Chordata; Actinopteri; Salmoniformes; Salmonidae. The record is from RNAcentral.
CAGGUCUGAGAGUGUUCACUGUGAAGAGAGAUUUAAUAAACAGGUCUGAUUGUGUUCACUGUAAAGAGAGGUUUAAUAAACAGGUCUGAGAGUGUUCACUGUGAAGAGAGGUUUAAUAAACAGGUCUGAGAGUGUUCAGUGUGAAGAGAGGUUUAAUAAACAGGUCUGAGAGUGUUCACUGUAAAGAGAGGUUUAAUAAACAGGUCUGAGAGUGUUCACUGUGAAGAGAGAUUUAAUAAACAGGUCUGAGAGUGUUCACUGUAAAGAGAGGUUUAAUAAACAGGUCUGAGAGUGUUCACUGUGAGGAGAG